Molecule: ribosomal RNA, 497 nt
Filed under: uncultured bacterium
Lineage: Bacteria
Description: bacterial SSU rRNA
Rfam family: Bacterial small subunit ribosomal RNA
Source: RNAcentral
AGAGUUUGAUCCUGGCUCAGGAUGAACGCUAGCGGCAGGCCUAAUACAUGCAAGUCGAACGGUAACAUGAGAGCUUGCUCUUGAUGACGAGUGGCGCACGGGUGCGUAACGCGUAUGCAACCUACCCUUUACUGGGGGAUAGCCCGGAGAAAUCCGGAUUAAUACCCCAUGGUACCAUAAUAUAGCCUUAUAUAGUGGUUAAAGAUUUAUUGGUAAAGGAUGGGCAUGCGUGACAUUAGUUAGUUGGUAAGGUAACGGCUUACCAAGACGAUGAUGUCUAGGGGUUCUGAGAGGAAGGUCCCCCACACUGGUACUGAGACACGGACCAGACUCCUACGGGAGGCAGCAGUAGGGAAUAUUGGUCAAUGGACGCAAGUCUGAACCAGCCAUGCCGCGUGCAGGAUGACAGCUUUCUGAGUUGUAAACUGCUUUUAUAUAGGAACAAAUAGGCCAUGCGUGGCAAGUUGCGUGUACUAUAUGAAUAAGCACCGCUAACU